AAACCACAGCCGGUCAGACCCACAGAGCCAGUAGGAGAGGCCACUGAUGAUGAUGAUGCAUGGGCUAAAAAGAAGAGGGACUAUACUCCUUUGGAGCAGUCCUACCUCAUAGAUAACCAAAAGUGGGUCAAUGCAAACAAAAAAUGCAUGGCUUUUAUAAAGAAUACAAUUGAGAGCGCCAUUGUGGGCUCCAUUGCAGAGUGCACUUCCGCAAGGGAGUUGCUUACAAAGAUAAAGAGCCAGUUCACUGGCUCUUCAAAGAUAUAUGCCACCCAAGUGUUAGAGCAACUGAUGACACAGCGCUACACGGGUGGUAGUCAUGGAAUAAGAGAGCACAUCCUGAGGAUGAGCAAUAUGGCA
RNAcentral lists this ribosomal RNA (360 nucleotides) under Triticum aestivum (bread wheat). RNAcentral's name for it is "partial small subunit ribosomal RNA". The record is from RNAcentral. Lineage: Eukaryota; Viridiplantae; Streptophyta; Magnoliopsida; Poales; Poaceae.